AUUGAACGCUGGCGGCAGGCUCAACACAUGCAAGUCGAGCGGGGUGAUGGUGCUCGCACUAUCACUUAGCGGCGGACGGGUGAGUAAUGCUUAGGAAUCUGCCUAUUAGUGGGGGACAACAUCUCGAAAGGGAUGCUAAUACCGCAUACGUCCUACGGGAGAAAGCAGGGGAUCACUUGUGACCUUGCGCUAAUAGAUGAGCCUAAGUCGGAUUAGCUAGUUGGUGGGGUAAAGGCCUACCAAGGCGACGAUCUGUAGCGGGUCUGAGAGGAUGAUCCGCCACACUGGGACUGAGACACGGCCCAGACUCCUACGGGAGGCAGCAGUGGGGAAUAUUGGACAAUGGGGGGAACCCUGAUCCAGCCAUGCCGCGUGUGUGAAGAAGGCCUUAUGGUUGUAAAGCACUUUAAGCGAGGAGGAGGCUCUUUUGGUUAAUACCCAAGAUGAGUGGACGUUACUUGCAGAAUAAGCACCGGCUAACUCUGUGCCAGCCGCCGCGGUAA
Molecule: ribosomal RNA, 503 nt
Filed under: uncultured bacterium
Lineage: Bacteria
Description: partial 16S ribosomal RNA
Rfam family: Bacterial small subunit ribosomal RNA
Source: RNAcentral